AUUGAACGCUGGCGGCAUGCCUUACACAUGCAAGUCGAACGGCAGCACGGGAGCAAUCCUGGUGGCGAGUGGCGAACGGGUGAGUAAUACAUCGGAACGUGCCCCGUAGCGGGGGAUAACCAGUCGAAAGAUUGGCUAAUACCGCAUACGCUCUACGGAGGAAAGCAGGGGACCGCAAGGCCUUGCACUAUGGGAGCGGCCGAUGUCGGAUUAGCUAGUUGGUGAGGGAAAGGCGAACCAAAGCAACGAUCCGUAGCUGGUCUGAGAGGACGACCAGCCACACUGGUACUGAGACACGGACCAGACUCCGACGGGAGGCAGCAGUGAGGAGUAUUGGUCAAUGGGCGCAAGCCUGACCCAGCCAUCCCGCGUGCAGAAUGACGACCCUAUGGGUUGUAAACUGCUUUUAUACAGGAAGAAAAAUCUCUACGUGUAGGGACUUGCCGGUACUGUAUGAAUAAGCAUCGGCUAACUCCGUGCCAGCCGCCGCCGUAA
This 495-nucleotide ribosomal RNA is filed under the name uncultured bacterium. RNAcentral's name for it is "partial 16S ribosomal RNA". It matches the Rfam family "Bacterial small subunit ribosomal RNA", at positions 30 to 523 of the family's 1533-position model. The record is from RNAcentral.